Non-coding RNA from Danio rerio (zebrafish), 1445 nucleotides. The record is from RefSeq and is a predicted model, not a curated record. NCBI's taxonomy places the organism in Eukaryota, Metazoa, Chordata, Actinopteri, Cypriniformes, Danionidae.
UGUGUUUCAUUAUUUGUGUUGUGUUGUGUGUUUGUUCCUGACAGUUAUGCAAUUAAAAACAAACAAAAAAGGUCACAGUGCAGUUAAACAACGCCUACUAUCUGCAGCUCUAGAUCACCCCCUAGCGGACACUCCAAGUCAUUUUCUCAGGCAGUUAUUCAAUACGAAGAGCAACACAUCGUUUUGUAAAUCAUAUCCAUUUUAACUCUUCUUUGUAUUUAUUUAUUUUUAAUAACUCCAAUUUAAUUAACAGUAUAUUUUAAUGAUCAUAUUGAUCUUUAAACCACUACAGAGACACGAUGCUUUCAUCUGCAGUUACACACGAGAGGAUUAUCAGUGCAGCGACACAACAGGACAACUCCUGAUCCUCUCAAUGCCUGAGCUGUUCUCAUCAGAGCAGUCACACAUGGGGAAUAUAACACAAGCUGUGCUAGACUUCAUGAAGAAGAAAGAUUAGAGUAUAUAUGGGAAAGCAGUCAGUUUAUUUUCUACAAAUCUACGUUGAGCUCUAUGACACUGAUUUGACCAAACUGUAAACAUAUUAUUACUAAACACACUCCAGUACAGCAGGUGGUGGUAUUAAGUUUUACGCUGCUCUCUGUAACCCGCCACACACGAAGAAGAAGAGGAAGAGGAAAAGGUCAUCCAGGUAUGUGUUGUUCUGUCUUUUCUGUGUCCAGUGUUUAUACUGCUUCAGGUAAAAUCACCCUAGUAAAAUGUACCCCCGCAGGUGCUUUGAUAACCCUGCAGCUGUUUGACUCUUCUCUGCUCUGUUUAGAGUGUUUGUGACGGAUGUUUUUCACUGAACUCAUGAUCUGCCGCUCCUUCAGAAACGAAAGUGAAAGUGUUUAGUUGCUGUGUCGCCAUUUUAAACAGACAGAAUCCACCAUUUACAACGCAGAACAGCUUUAAAUCUUUAAUGUCUUGACUAAACCUGUAAGCUUUAUGUGAAUGUGUGUAUGAUGUUAUUAUAAUCAAACGGAUGACGCUGUGAUUCUUCAUUAAUUUACUCGUGAUGAGCUUCUGGAUUUGAGUGUCUCAGCUGCUGAUCUAUUCCUGCAUUCAGCUGAAUUAUGAAGGCUGAUCAAUGACUGGAGAUCUGUGAUUGUUCAUCAGUUUCUGCUGAAGAUCAAACUCUUCAGGUCCACCAUGGGUAACUCACACACUGCUGGAGAUCAGGAUUUGUCGAAAAGAUGCAGUUCAGUUCAUCAGAAGAGAGCAGAAGCAGAGCCCAGCUGUGUGUCUAUGAAGAGUGACGCGUCUAUGCAUACACCAAUAGCAUUUAAGAGUGGAAACACACGACCUGCUGUCAGUGUGUAUAGAGAUGAUCAGAAUGGAGACCUGCAGCAGGAUUCACUCCAACCAGAACAUGAUGAACUUCAGAGAGUCAAAGAGCAGCACAAAACCAGCAUGAAGAACAAGUAUGAGAGAUUAUUUGAGGGAAU